AGAGUUUGAUCAUGGCUCAGAACGAACGCUGGCGGCAGGCUUAACACAUGCAAGUCGAACGCGUGUAGCAAUACACGAGUGGCGCACGGGUGAGUAACGCGUGGAUAUCUGCCUUUUGGUUCGGAAUAACUCCGGGAAACUGGAGCUAAUACCGGAUGGUUCCUACGGGAUAAAGAUUUAUCGCCAAAAGAUGAGUCCGCGUACGAUUAGCUAGUUGGUGAGGUAAUGGCUCACCAAGGCGACGAUCGUUAGCUGGUCUGAGAGGACGAUCAGCCACACUGGGACUGAGACACGGCCCAGACUCCUACGGGAGGCAGCAGGUGGGGAAUAUUGGACAAUGGGGGCAACCCUGAUCCAGCCAUGCCGCGUGAGUGACGAAGGCCUUCGGGUUGUAAAGCUCUUUGGCGGGGACGAUGAUGACGGUACCCGCAGAAUAAGCCCCGGCUAACUUCGUG
RNAcentral lists this ribosomal RNA (455 nucleotides) under uncultured bacterium. RNAcentral describes it as "bacterial SSU rRNA". It matches the Rfam family "Bacterial small subunit ribosomal RNA", at positions 8 to 507 of the family's 1533-position model. The record is from RNAcentral.